Long non-coding RNA from Amphibalanus amphitrite, 1164 nucleotides. RefSeq lists it as uncharacterized. The transcript has 2 exons. Lineage: Eukaryota; Metazoa; Arthropoda; Thecostraca; Balanomorpha; Balanidae. The record is from RefSeq and is a predicted model, not a curated record.
GAGCGCUAUUGCAUAAACAUAAGAUUUACGCCACCGGAGUAGAUCUUAACUUUUUUACGAAACGGCCAUACUCUACGAAACACCGUAAAACCUGUUGCAUAAAGGCCGUGACCUACUUCGUAAAUAUUUGGAAAAUCUAGGUAUGACGUCAUACAUGAAUGAAAAUAGUGCCGGAUCUCAGCACGAAAUGCAGAAGAAUGGUGACAAUAAUGAAAGCGAUUAAAGUUCCAGUGUACUGAAAUGUGUGAAUCACGUUGUCUGGAUAAGUGGUUCAAAUCACCUUGAAUUGAUAGCGACUUUAGACUACCUUUCGUACUUUUCAAUAUUCAUGCGCCCUCCCACAUCAAGCGGCGGUCGGCUUGGUAAACAACAUCGAUCGUGGCAUCUUGGGAGUGUGGGAUAUUCUAAGAUCAUAGAUAAUUUGCCCUCACUAUGGGUUUCAGUCGAUAUUCUACAUAAAUUUGCAUAGAACUGAGUGCACUGUAUCCGUCUAGAACAGUGCCGUAGCUGCUACUGCCACCUUUCGCCAAUUAAGUAAGCUGAGAUUUGUACACUCGCCGUCCGGUGGUUGCUAGGUAGGACACGAAAGUAAACAACAUUCCAAAGAAGAAUUUCAAGACAAAUGUCCAGCUUGGCUUGCAAGAUCGAACAAGAUCAUCAUUUGGUGGCUGAAAAUGAAGAAUUAAGAUAACCAGGGCCCAGACUAACAAGAAUUUCUAUCCGACUUCGUAGAGGAGUCUUCUGACCACGGCAUUCGGCUGUUCUACAUGAAGGUUGAAGAAUCCCGCUGGGUUCAGCCGACAGAGGGCUCUGAUAAAUCGCCGAUAGAUGGCGGCUGCUACGCCAAGAGUCACUACCUUCGUUGAAAUCGUCCUAUCAGCAGCGUCUUAUCCCGGUGUUGGCGCACUCGGGAAAAGUGAGGCUGUGCAAGCUCAGCAUCAUUUGUUCCCUUUUUUUAAAGCGCUCUUCGUGUUACGAUUACAGUGACAUGUCAAGUUUACGUGGGUCUCCAGCUCAACUUGAAUCGCGGCCGUAUUGGUGCACAGACGUUCUCUGAAUACGUAUGGUACAUACGUGCUAGAAUCUGAGGCGAGUGUGUUUGGAUGUUCACUAAAAUCGUCAACGGAAUGUGGGAACCAGAAAUAAACAUCGACACGGCUGAUA